AGAGUGAACGCUGGCGGUAGGCCUAACACAUGCAAGUCGAACGGCAGCACAGUGGUAGCAAUACCAUGGGUGGCGAGUGGCGGACGGGUGAGGAAUACAUCGGAAUCUACCUUUUCGUGGGGGAUAACGUAGGGAAACUUACGCUAAUACCGCAUACGCCCUUUGGGGGAAAGCCGGGGAUCGCAAGACCUGGCGCGGAUAGAUGAGCCGAUGUCGGAUUAGCUAGUUGGUGAGGUAAUGGCUCACCAAGGCGACGAUCCGUAGCUGGUCUGAGAGGAUGAUCAGCCACACUGGAACUGAGACACGGUCCAGACUCCUACGGGAGGCAGCAGUGGGGAAUAUUGGACAAUGGGCGCAAGGCCUGAUCCAGCCAUACCGCGUGGGUGAAGAAGGCCUUCGGUUGUAAAGCCCUUUUGUUGGAAAGAAAAGACAAUCGGUUAAUACCCGGUUGUUCUGACGGUACCCAAACGAAUAAGCACCGCUAACUUCGUGCCAGCAGCCG
This 502-nucleotide ribosomal RNA is filed under the name uncultured soil bacterium. Its description in RNAcentral is "bacterial SSU rRNA". It matches the Rfam family "Bacterial small subunit ribosomal RNA", at positions 26 to 517 of the family's 1533-position model. The record is from RNAcentral.